This 243-nucleotide ribosomal RNA is filed under the name uncultured bacterium. RNAcentral describes it as "partial 16S ribosomal RNA". It matches the Rfam family "Bacterial small subunit ribosomal RNA", at positions 793 to 1036 of the family's 1533-position model. The record is from RNAcentral.
GUCCACGCCGUAAACGAUGGACACUUGGUGUUGGUGGUAUUGACCCCAUCAGUGCCGUAGCAAACGCGAUAAGUGUCCCGCCUGGGGAGUACGGUCGCAAGAUUAAAACUCAAAGAAAUUGACGGGGGCCCGCACAAGCGGUGGAGCAUGUGGUUUAAUUCGAUGCAACGCGAAAAACCUUACCUGGGCUUGACAUCUAGGGGAAGAAUUCCAGAGAUGGAUUCGUCUUCGGACUCCUAGACA